GCGGGUGUAGCUCAGCGGUAGAGCCUCAGCUUCCCAAGCUGAGGGUCGCGGGUUCAAUUCCCGUCACCCGCU
Molecule: transfer RNA, 72 nt
Filed under: Candidatus Poribacteria bacterium
Lineage: Bacteria; Candidatus Poribacteria
Description: tRNA-Gly
Rfam family: tRNA
About the family: Transfer RNA (tRNA) molecules are approximately 80 nucleotides in length. Their secondary structure includes four short double-helical elements and three loops (D, anti-codon, and T loops).
Source: RNAcentral